UCGCCGCCGCCGGGCUGGGGGGCGGGGUGAGUAGUCUCCGCAACCGCGGCGGGAGGACCGGCGGGAGGCGGCGGCGGCGGGCGCGGCCUGGCGGGGCUCCCGGAUGCUCAGGAGUACCAUGUGACACAAGUGUAAGAGGUGUUAUUAUAGCUCGUUUUACACAGAUUAAGAGCCGAAGGCUUAGAGAGAAGAAAGAAUUUGUCCAAGAUGAUACAUCUAGUUCAAGUGCCGCUAAGAUCUUUUCAGGUGAAAUCGUUUUGAAAGGGAGGAGGAGAGCAGGAAGUGCCUGAGUCUAAAGAAGGGGUGCUGGUGAGAGGCGGCAAGAAAGCUUAGUCCGGAAAAAGAAUUGGAGGACACAGCAAGGUCAGAAUAAGGUCCUGGAAUGAGACUCACAAGGAGGCUGGGCUUCUAUAGAACAGCAGGAAAGGACCAAGUCACUUUAUCAAAAUUUAAUAUCUUUGGAACAAGUUGGUCACAUAUAUUCCAUUUUCCCUGUGAGUUUUGCAGUGGGGCUUUUUCAAUCUCCUCUGAUGAAUUCUCCACCUCUUCUCUGAAUGCUUCUCCUCAGUUGACGCUCUGAGAAGACAGUCCCAUUUUGGAAAGCUAAUCAUAUCCUUAAGGUGACUCAGUUCAAAGUCACAUACUUUCUCAAGUGAGGCAGGAAAAUGAAUGCAUCAAUUUCUAGGAUGGGAAUGACAACCAUUUAAAAAACAACAGCCAAAUUAUAGAUGUACUUAGCACAGGAAGCAUCUGCUGACAAACAAGUCAUACAUUUUUAAAUGAUGUACAUGAAGACUUUAAAGUCCACCUUAACAGGAAAAUUGAAGAAUUCUUAAAAGGAACAGUGAGGAUUGAAAUUAUAACCUACACUCUACAAAAGUGCCCAUACCUAAUCCUCAGAGGUAUUAAAACUUUUCAGGGAUGUUAUGUCCAUCAGUUACACAAUACUAUGUUUCUAUGUACGUAUGGCCCAUGACACUUUCAAGGCCCAUGAAAAUGUCUUAAUUUUAAUUUUGUCUAAAAGCAGAAGAAAAAAUGACUAUAUUAAUAAUAAUGGUUACAUAAUAAAGAAUUUAGCCAGGAUAAUAUUUGCCUUUAUACCAAUAGUCAUAAAAUAUAAUGUCUAAUUUUUCUUUUUAUGGAAUAAGGGGCCCAUGAAGGCAAAAGUGCCUAUAUCCCAUGAAAGUCAUAAUGGGUUCCCGGAAAUAGUUAUCUAUUCAAUGUAGUCAUUGAUCAGUAUCUAAGUAAAUGCUUUGUGAAGGUUGUUUGAUGUGUGUUUAUGCAUGGUUUUGAGACAUUAUUUAGAAUAGAUUAUAUUCUCUUAACAGAAUGGAAAUUGAGGCUGUGUACCUUCUUCACAUCUGUGCUUCUUUCUUCUUGUUUGCUUCACUCUGGCUCUUUCUCUUCAUGAGCUUCUUUUACUUGCUUAUCUCUUGCACACGGCCCUGUAGUCCCCAGCCCAGCUUGGCAUCAAAUCUACCACUGAUGUUAGGCUUUGUGGAUCUGAGUUCAAAUUCUCUGCUAGGUCAUCCUCUAGUCAGGUGUUCACCAUACAUCCAAUUAGCUGUAGCUAAUCCUUCUCCCGUCGUUCUUCCCCCUGCACUCCUGCAUGCCACUCAACCUCCAUGGUAUGUACUGCAGGCCCUUCUGCAAGCUGUGUUGGGGCAGCUAAUAAAAUAUCUCCUACUAUAUGGUUUUAAUAUGACUGGAUUACACUCAGAGCAGAAAACAAUUACAGGAAGAAGGAGCCUAGCAGUAAGUAGUGGUCUUAGUGUAAUUACUCUAAUUUCUCAUGCCCUUGAUUGUCAUUUUGCCACAUAUUCAACACAUGGGAAACAGAAGGCUUCUCUCUAGGAAAUGCCAUUUGCAGAGAACUCUGUCCAAUCUAGUCAUCUCUCAGUGAAGAGCCAAAAUGCAUAAUCAGGCAGGACUCCUGCCUCGAGACUAAGCCAUUCUCUGAAGAUGAACAGACACCCUGCUAAGUCACUUUUUGCUGGAUGAGUGACCUAUCUGAGUAAGUAUCCACAUCACAUACACUGCCUGUCACUUCAGGAUUGUAAUAAGCCUUCUUCAUUAACGAUUAUGUAUUAGGAACACCUGAGUAGAUGUGACUUUAAUAGCAAGUUGAACUUUAUUUAAUUAUCACAGUGUCACACACCUUUCUACCUUUGUAGAAUUUUAACACUCAAUAAGCACAAUAUUGUUUCACUAUAAAGAAGUAUGAUUGGUGCAU
Molecule: long non-coding RNA, 2233 nt
Organism: Equus caballus (horse)
Lineage: Eukaryota; Metazoa; Chordata; Mammalia; Perissodactyla; Equidae
Source: RefSeq, a predicted model, not a curated record